UAGUCCAUGCACCUAGUGAAGUGGACACAAAAUCAUGUAACCAACAGCCAAAUCUGCUUAGUUACGAUGCUUCUCUGUAUUAUUCUUGCAUAAUUAUUCUUUAAUUUCUUUUGCUCUUAAAGAAUUUAAUGAUAAAUGAAUGUUUUAACUAUGUGAAUAAACCGAUAAACUAUUAAGAUAUAAAACGUUUUAAAAACUAAAUACAUUUUUUUUUUUCAAAACCAGGUUUGCUAGCAAACCCCUGUAGUUGUAACAGAUACAACUUUUUAUUAUAAAUUAUCAGUAAUAAAAUUUAUUUGCACAUCUCUAUGUCCAGCAGAGGUCCCAUUACGCGAUCACUGCAUCUCUCUCUCUUUCUCUCUCUCUCUCGUACAUUUUGUAACUACAAAAAUGUUUGGGAUGUUUAGAUUAAUUUUAUAGGCUGAGAAUUUAUAUCCAUUAGACCAGUUUCUGGUGUAUUUUGAAAUAGACUUUGUUUAUCUUUGAAUGCAAAACGAUGUCGAUUUCCUCAGGUGUUAAUACCGGAUGACCUUCACCCUGCAGAAAUUGUUCGUGUAUCACAUGUAGUUCUCCACAAACAUGACAAAACGGUGAUUUCAUUAGAUUUUUCAGCUCAACAUGAAUGGGUUAAAUACAGAAGAAUAUUAAUUACAGAAUGAAAUAAAUAGAGAUGCUUUAACUUUUACCGGUAGCAGGGACCUAUAUACUGGUAGUAUAUAGGUCUCUGCCGGUAGUUGGGCAGUAGCAGUAAAAAGAAAAAAAGUGUACAUUUACAGAAAUUUCAUACAAAUAAUAGCCCCCAAGAUGCACAAAAUACAGGUGCUUAUCAUUUAUAAUUAUUCACAAACUAGGCAUUUAUGGAUUGUAUACCUGUUAUAAUUUACAUGAUGUUCCAUGUAUACAUGUAUUUCGAUGUUUGUAUCACUCUCUGGUGUCAGUUACAUUAAUUAAGAUUUUAGUUGAAAUCUAACAUGUAAGAAAAUUAUGAAUAAUUAAAAAAAAAAUAGGGGGCCUAAUCAAUUUGAGAGUGAUUUGUUACGUAAACAAACACAAAAUAGUAAUGGCGGUCAAGAUGGCGGUUCAAUUAUUUGCCCAAAAUAGCCACGCUAAAUUUCAAGGAUUUCAUCGCAAUCGGCUUUCAGUUUAAGUUGGGGCUUCAUUAAAUAAUUGUUAAAUGUUCAUUGUUAUAAUUAUAAAUUGUUUACACGAAAUAUUUUAUGAAUAAUUUAAUAAAUUUUAAUAAAAACACGUGACUCCAGCGAAGUCUACGAUUGGUCAGUGGAGAGCGCGGACAUUUCUGAGACGUUUUGAAAAUUUGCCGAGAUGAAAGCCUAAAACAGAAAUCGGAGAAUUAUAGUUCGCAAAAUUCUUGUCCCCUGUAGUCAUUCUAAACUUGGGGGAAAUGCAUAAAGACUAUAACUCUGUCAAAUUGAAGGGAAUGGCAUGAAAGAAGAAAGAAGGAAUUGCAUGGUACAUUCAAAUGGAGGAUCAGUUUUUAUAAGGAGUCCAGAUGAAAAUCGCAACUGUACAGCAAUGAGUAAUUACCCUGGUAAAAGGUCUAUUACUGUGCAGAAAAUUCUGUGGUGCCAAUUGGGUAAAAACUCUAUGAAAGAAAUGAACAUUACAUGAAUUGCACAUGCAGCAAGUGAAUAAUGUGUGGCCAAAAAAAAGGACAUGAAAUGGAGUAUACUUUCAAUACUUUUACGGUGUCUUAGUGUAUUUAAAUUACAUUAAUUAUGUUUUGUAUAUGCUGAAAAGGUAUGCUUAUUUUUUUUCUUGCAAAAAAUGAUAUAAAAUAUCAUUAUUUUGUUAAAGGUAACAAUAUUAAUUUUUUUUUAAAUAUAGGAGAUUUGUCAUAUAUAGAUUCCGUUUAUAGAGAGGAUUUAAAAUAGUUAUUUUUCAUAUAUAUUU
Saccostrea cuccullata (small rock oyster) is the source of this 1911-nucleotide long non-coding RNA. RefSeq lists it as uncharacterized. The transcript has 3 exons. NCBI's taxonomy places the organism in Eukaryota, Metazoa, Mollusca, Bivalvia, Ostreida, Ostreidae. The record is from RefSeq and is a predicted model, not a curated record.